UAUCUGCAGUCGACGCGUCCUCGCUGAUGAAGUUGAAGUGCUUGCACGGAUUCUGAUUCAACAUUUGGACGAGUGGCGAACUGGUGAGUAACACGUGGGUAACCUGCCCUCAAGCAGGGGAUAACACUUGGAAACAGGUGCUAAUACCGUAUAACAAUGAAAACCGCAUGGUUUUCAUUUGAAAGAUGGUUUCGGCUAUCACUUGAGGAUGGACCCGCGGCGUAUUAGCUAGUUGGUGAGGUAACGGCUCACCAAGGCAAUGAUACGUAGCCGACCUGAGAGGGUAAUCGGCCACAUUGGGACUGAGACACGGCCCAAACUCCUACGGGAGGCAGCAGUAGGGAAUCUUCCACAAUGGACGAAAGUCUGAUGGAGCAACGCCGCGUGAGUGAAGAGGGGUUUCGGCUCGUAAAACUCUGUUGUUAAAGAAGAACAGGUGUAAGAGUAACUGUUUACACCGUGACGGUAUUUAACCAGAAAGCCACGGCUAACUACGUGCCAGCAGCCGCGGUAAUACGUAGGUGGCAAGCGUUGUCCGGAUUUAUUGGGCGUAAAGCGAGCGCAGGCGGUCUUUUAAGUCUGAUGUGAAAGCCUUCGGCUUAACCGGAGAAGUGCAUCGGAAACUGGGAG
RNAcentral lists this ribosomal RNA (630 nucleotides) under uncultured bacterium. RNAcentral describes it as "bacterial SSU rRNA". It matches the Rfam family "Bacterial small subunit ribosomal RNA", at positions 1 to 639 of the family's 1533-position model. The record is from RNAcentral.